CUCCCCCCCCCCCCAGUUUGCUUCUGGUAAUGGCGUUUCAUCACAGCGAUAGAAACCCUAAGGUAACAGGUGAGUGGUAACUUGCUUGACUAUGAUGCUCUGAAGAGUUCUUGUCAGGAGAAAGCAACUGACCCCAGAGCUCAGUAUCUCGACGGCAGCGUGUUCUGAGAACGUGGUACCGAGCUCGGUGACAUGAAAAGGACUCAAACCCAGGACAUCUGGAACACGGAGUCUCCUACAGGCCACAUAACUGGUAUUCUCAACAAAUGAAAUGAAAGCACGGAGGAGAUGGACGUGUCCAUGCAUGGUGCUGAGAAUUUCGCCAUGACCUUACAAUGUGGUAUGUAUCUGUAGAAUGUUAUUCAGCUUAAAAAAAAAUCAGAACUCUCUAUUACUCAGGAAAGAUGGAUUAGCCUAGAAAACUCCUCUGCUGAGUGAAAUAAUGCAGGCACAGAGGAUGAAAACAUCACCGUCUCGAUGAAGUUUGGCAUCUUAUAAAAGAACAGUGAGCACGUGCUGGGGUGAGAAGAGUGAUAGGGAGCCUAGGCCUGGGUGGGAAGUAAGAGGAGCAACAGUUCCUGGCUUUGGGGUGCAGAGCCUCAUCUAGACAGGAAAGCAAACUGACAUCUAUUUAAACACUGGGACGUCGGGUCGGCAAUAAUGGACUGUAUAUUCAGAAGAACAAGAAAGACAGUUACCAUGACAUCACCUCAAAACUGUCAGGUAAUUAAAGUGAUGGAUAAGUUCAUUAAUGUGGACCUAAUUCACCUUGCAUUGUACACAGAUAUCAGAUCAUUGCGUUCUAUGCCAAAUCCGUGAAGUAAAUACUCUUAGGAGCUGUCACUUAUUAUAAACUUUAAGACAGCUUUUAGGGAUGAAGAAAGACCGGUAAAGAUAUAAAACCAAGUUCAAUGUGAGGACCUUGUUUAAAUUUCACACAGCUGUCAGUAAAACCAUCUGGCAAAGGAGAGGCCUUCCAGUCUAUCAGUCUCUUAACUAAUAAAGAAAAAGUUAAACAUUUACCUACCCCGUUGACCCAGAAAUUUCACCUCUAGUUAUUUACACAAAAGAAAUGAAAACAAGCCCCAAACAGACACGCAUAGAAAGCUCACAGGUGUCCUGUUUGUCAGAGCCAAAACAUUGCUGAAAUGUAGCAAAGAUCUAUCACGAGAAGAGCGGGUCAGUGGAUGACGCAAACACGUCAUUGGAUGGGGACAUUCCCACUAAGCUCUAGAACGCUGGAAGGUAAACCAGUGCUCGGCUCCUGAAGGAAGGUUGACUGGGAACAGAGAUAAGCACGUUUUCUGAAGGAUACAGAUGCUCUAUCUCGAGAAGGAUGUGGGUUACACACUUCCCCGUGCACUCGUCACAGCUAAUUGAAGUGUACACUCAGAAUUUACACAUGUCAUUCUAAGGAGAGUUUACCUUUUGAAAGGGAAUAUAAACAAAUACAGAAGUCUAGUCAAUAGGUUCUCUUCACAGCGACAUGGGUGAACAAUCCUGAAAGCACAGUCUGUUAUUCUAGUCUUGAGCAAUUAAGUCAACGCGCCGCGGGAGGAGGACAUGUGGACAGGGCAUUGUGUAAGAGGGGAACAGCCAGGGCGCGCUGGUUGGGGCUGGUAGCACAGAGCAGCCAGCAUAGUCCGCAAGUGCAUCUGGGCUUCUCAAUCCUGUCCUCCACCAAGAGCAUCAAGAACCCCUUACAAAUGCUGACCCCAGAGCCAGAACAGGAGAAAACAUCUUGUUAAAGCUAAAAAUCAAGGAAAUACUUACUAAAAAUGGUACAUGGAAAGGUACAGGACUUGGCUCUAUACCAAGUCCAUUGGCCAAAUUUAAGAAAGCUUGACCAUCAAAAAUAAAAUAAUAAGAUAAAAUAAAAUUUGGAUGGGCAAGAUGCCUUAGCUGGUAAAAGCAUUUGCAGUAUGCUGUGUAGCAGUUUCCUCCAGAUUGAACCAUUCAUUCUGAGGAGGAAGCUCCUUAAAACAAAAAGAAAACACUCAAAAUAGCUUCAGGAAGUCCCUGAUAUUGAGCAGAUUCACUACCCACCCCUCCGAGAUUUUUUUUUUCACAUAAAAGGUUUAUUUUGAAUGUUUUAAGGAAGAAUAGAGUUACAUCCUAAUUAUAAAAAUUACAGAAUUAACAGAGUUGGACUGUGUAUACUUCUAAAUGCAGAGAACAGGGAAUAGUCUACACAUUGUAUAAAAUAAAAUUAAAAUUAAAAAUUAAUUCAAACUCAAGAAAAUGAGGUCAUUUAUCUAGUUAUAAAUGUGAACAUGAAGACCUCUGAACUCUACUCGUUCAUUCGAACUGCACUAAUGAUGGAGAAUACAGAGAGUGCUGCAUUCCCAAGGAACACAGACAUUUCGACCAUGAUUACUUCUAAGUAUUGUAUACUUAGAUAAAGAUUGUUAAGACUCUCAGACAAGCCCAGCCACCUGAAAGAAGCAGAUACUGUCCCCAGUGGCUUGGAAGAGGCCAAUGGCAACCUAACUGUGUAGAUGAAACAAAGAACAACUGAAAACAACUCGGAAGAUCUUCAGCCAACCGACUCACCUAGAAAGGACACUCUCUAAUCCAUGGAGCCACCCACGGGCUAGACAGUGUUCCAGGGUCCCACACCUCGCCUAUACUGCAGGGGACUUCGCUGACUCAGCUCUCUUAAAGUCAUUCUGCUCCUGGAAGUGACCCUUCACCUGAAUUCCUGUAAAUAACCCCAAUAAAACUCACUGUUCACCAGGUUGGACCUUGGUGCUCCACCUCC
Long non-coding RNA from Mus musculus (house mouse), 2761 nucleotides. RefSeq annotates it as predicted gene, 41866. Lineage: Eukaryota; Metazoa; Chordata; Mammalia; Rodentia; Muridae. The record is from RefSeq and is a predicted model, not a curated record. The transcript is spliced from 2 exons.